Molecule: ribosomal RNA, 406 nt
Filed under: uncultured bacterium
Lineage: Bacteria
Description: partial 16S ribosomal RNA
Rfam family: Bacterial small subunit ribosomal RNA
Source: RNAcentral
AUUGAACGCUGGCGGCAGGCCUAACACAUGCAAGUCGAACGAGUGGCGGACGGGUGAGUAAUGUCUGGGAAACUGCCCGAUGGAGGGGGAUAACUACUGGAAACGGUAGCCUAUACCGCAUACUCUCGGAUGAGCCCAGAUGUGAUUAGCUUGUAGGGGGGGUAACGGCUCACCUAGGCGACGAUCCCUAGCUGGUCUGAGAGGAGGACCGGCAACACUGGAACUGAGACACGGUCAGGACUCCUACGGGGGGAGGCAGUGGGGAAUAUUGGAAAAUGGGGGAAAGCCUGAUGCGGCCAUGCCGCGGGUAUGAAGAGGGCCUUCGGGUUGUAAAGUACUUUCAGCGGGGAGGCGUUACCCGAAGAGGAAGCAACGGCUAACUCCGUGCCAGCAGCCGCGGUAAUUC